This 468-nucleotide ribosomal RNA is filed under the name uncultured bacterium. Its description in RNAcentral is "partial 16S ribosomal RNA". It matches the Rfam family "Bacterial small subunit ribosomal RNA", at positions 28 to 507 of the family's 1533-position model. The record is from RNAcentral.
GACGAACGCUGGCGGCGUGCUUAACACAUGCAAGUCGAACGGAAAGGCCCUGCUUUUGUCGGGUGCUCGAUUGGCGAAAGGGUGAGUAACACGUGAGUAACCUGCCCUAGACUUUGGGAUAACUUCUGGUAACUGGGGCUAAUACCUGAUAGGAGCUCCUGCUGCAAGGGGUCGGCUGGAAUGUUUCGGUGGUUGGGGAUGGACUCGCGGCUUCGAAGCUUAGGGGUGGGGUAGUGGCUUACCGAGGCUUUGACGGGAAUCCGGCCUGAGAGGGUGACCGGCCACAUUGGGACUGAGAUACGACACAGACUCCUACGGGAGGCAGCGGUGGGGAAUAUUGUACAAUGGGAGGAAGGCUAAUGCAACAACGCCGCGUGCGGGAUGUCGGGCAUCGGGUUGUAAACCGCUUUCGCCUGUGACGAAGCGUGAGUGACGGUAAUGGGUAAAGAAGCACCGGCUAACUACGUG